GAGCGGCGGACGGGUGAGUAAUGCCUAAGAAAUUGCCCUGAUGUGGGGGAUAACCAUUGGAAACGAUGGCUAAUACCGCAUAAUGCCUACUGGCCAAAGAGGGGGACCUUCGGGCCUCUCGCGUCAGGAUAUGCCUAGGUGGGAUUAUUGUAUGUUGGUGAGGUAAUGGCUCACCAAGGCGACUAUCCCUAUACUGGUCUGAGAGGAUGAUCACCCACACUGGAACUGAGACACGGUCCAGACUCCUACGGGAGGCACCAUUGGGGAAUAUUGCACAAUGGGCGCAAGCCUGAUGCAACCAUGCCGCGUGUGUGAAGAAUGCCUUCGGGUUGUAAAGCACUUUCAUUCGUGAGGAAGGUGGUAGUGUUAAUAGCACUAUCAUUUGACGUUAGCGACAGAAGAAGCACCGGCUAACUCCGUGCCAGCAGCCGCGGUAAUACGGAGGGUGCGAGCGUUAAUCGGAAUUACUGGGCGUAAAGCGCAUGCACGUGGUUUGUUAAGUCAUAUGUGAAAGCCCGGGGCUCAACCUCGGAAUAUCAUUUGAAACUGGCAUACUAGAGUACUGUAGAGGGGGGUAGAAUUUCAGGUGUAGCGGUGAAAUGCGUAGAGAUCUGAAGGAAUACCGGUGGCGAAGGCGGCCCCCUGGACAGAUACUGACACUCAGAUGCGAAAGCGUGGGGAGCAAACAGGAUUAGAUACCCUGGUAGUCCACGCCGUAAACGAUGUCUACUUGGAGGUUGUGGCCUUGAGCCGUGGCUUUCGGAGCUAACGCGUUAAGUAGACCGCCUGGGGAGUACGGUCGCAAGAUUAAAACUCAAAUGAAUUGACGGGGGCCCGCACAAGCGGUGGAGCAUGUGGUUUAAUUCGAUGCAACGCGAAGAACCUUACCUACUCUUGACAUCCAGAGAAUUUUCCAGAGAUGGAUUAGUGCCUUCGGGAACUCUGAGACAGGUGCUGCAUGGCUGUCGUCAGCUCGUGUUGUGAAAUGUUGGGUUAAGUCCCGCAACGAGCGCAACCCUUAUCCUUGUUUGCCAGCGAGUAAUGUCGGGAACUCCAGGGAGACUGCCGGUGAUAAACCGGAGGAAGGUGGGGACGACGUCAAGUCAUCAUGGCCCUUACGAGUAGGGCUACACACGUGCUACAAUGGCGCAUACAGAGGGCAGCAAGCUAGCGAUAGUGAGCGAAUCCCAAAAAGUGCGUCGUAGUCCGGAUUGGAGUCUGCAACUCGACUCCAUGAAGUCGGAAUCGCUAGUAAUCGUGGAUCAGAAUGCCACGGUGAAUACGUUCCCGGGCCUUGUACACACCGCCCGUCACACCAUGGGAGUGGG
This 1328-nucleotide ribosomal RNA is filed under the name Vibrio sp. 4E9. RNAcentral's name for it is "bacterial SSU rRNA". It matches the Rfam family "Bacterial small subunit ribosomal RNA", at positions 93 to 1414 of the family's 1533-position model. The record is from RNAcentral. Lineage: Bacteria; Pseudomonadati; Pseudomonadota; Gammaproteobacteria; Vibrionales; Vibrionaceae.